Molecule: ribosomal RNA, 1215 nt
Filed under: Kaylathalia klovstadi
Lineage: Eukaryota; Metazoa; Arthropoda; Collembola; Entomobryomorpha; Isotomidae
Description: 16S ribosomal RNA
Rfam family: Bacterial large subunit ribosomal RNA (bases 806-1160)
Source: RNAcentral
UUGUUGUUUUAAUUUAGGCUUUAAUGUUAUUUUAUACUUAGUAGUUAAAAAAUUUUAUUUAAAUUAAGAACUGUAAAGGUUUGUUGAAAUAGUGAAAAGUAAUCAUAGGCUAUCUAAAUUAUGUACCUUUUGUAUUAGUGAGUCUGGAAUUUUUUAAUUAUUUGUUUUCUCGAACAAGAGAGGGCUAAUUUAAAUUUAAUUUUAUGUGUAAUAAUAGUUUUAAAUUUAAGUUAGAAGUGAUAAAUUAUUCGAUCUCUUAUAUAUCUGGUUGGGGGGUUAGAAUUUAGUUCUACCACGUUGGGUUUAUUUCUAUUUUUACUAACUAAAUUUAGCGUGGGUAAUAAAGAGGGGGUUAGCUUUCUUUUUUAAGAGUGUUAAAAAUUUAAUUUUAGUGAUUAUUUAUAGUAGGCUUAGAAACAGCUUUCUUUGUAGUAAGUUUUUUUUUAUAACGCAAUAUUUGAUAUUUAUUUAAAUUUUAAUUUUAUACUCCUUUUAGUAAAAAUAAUUUUUAUUAAACAAUAAUCGGACUAUUAGUAGUUUAGUUUUAAUGUAUUAUUAAUUACCAGCUUGUAUUUUAUGAAUUUGACAAUAUAUGCUUCGACUGUUUAUCAAAAACAUUUCUUUUGGUUUAUUUAAAAAGUAAGGCCUGCCCACUGUAAAUAUGAAGGGCCGCGGUAUUUUGACCGUGCAAAGGUAGCAUAAUCAUUAGUUCCUUAAUUAGGGAAUAGUAUGAAUGGCUCAACGUAGCAUGUUUUUAUUAAUUACAUAUAAUGAAUUUAAGUUUUAAGUGAAAACGCUUAAAUUAGCCCAUAGACGAUAAGACCCUAUAGAGCUUUAUUUUUGGGUUAGUCGGGGGGUUAGAAAUAUUCCUGGCUUAAAACAAAAAUUUUGUUGGGGCAACAUAAGAAUAAAUAAAUCUUCUUAAUAAUUUUUUUUAUAAAAUUUAAGAUCUUGAAGUUUAAAGUAUAAAAAAAGUUACCUUAGGGAUAACAGCGUAAUUAAAAUUGAGAGCCCGUAUCGACAUUUUAGUUUGCGACCUCGAUGUUGAAUUAAGAAAUCUUAAUGGGGCAGCUUUCGUUUAAGAUAGUCUGUUCGACUAUUAAAUUCUUACAUGAUUUGAGUUCAAAUCGGCGCGAGCCAGGUUGGUUUCUAUCUUUGGUGUUUAAUUUUUUUUUUUAGUACGAAAGGACCGAAUUAAUUUAAUAUUUAUUUAUU